RNAcentral lists this long non-coding RNA (2463 nucleotides) under Homo sapiens (human). RNAcentral describes it as "HSALNT0166191". Lineage: Eukaryota; Metazoa; Chordata; Mammalia; Primates; Hominidae. The record is from RNAcentral.
CAGCCAAGAGUGUGUUCACAAAAGGUCGAAAUGGCAACUUUUUCCAAAAUCUUAGAAUUUGAUCAUUGUUGACUCUGACGUCUUAGACCAGCUAGACCUGCAGUCACUCAGUAGAGUGUCUCAUUCAAUGAAACAUGAUAUUAUUGUCAGGAGUUAUUCCAGCCCAUCUCUAUCAGUUUCCUAGAGCUGCUAUAGCACAGCACCACACAUUGGAUGACUUAAAACAAAAGAACUUUAUUGUCUCAUAGUUCUGGAGGCUAGAAGUUUUAAACCAUGGUGUUGGUAGAACUACGCUAUGAAACCUGUGAGGAAAUGCUUUCUUGCUUUUCCUAGCUUUUGCUAUUGCCAGCAAUCCUUGGUGGUUUGGCUUGCAGCUGCCUAAAUCCAGUCUCUGCUUUCAUCAUCACACGGCAUCCUUUCCAUGUGUCUCUGUCUUCAAGUGGCCAUUUUCUUAUAAGGAUGCUAGUCCUAUUAAAUUAGGAGCCCAUGUUCCUCCAGUCUACCAUUUUAACUUUCUUUAUUAUAUUGUCAGUGACCCUAUAAAUAAGGUCAUAUUUUGAGAGAUCCUGGAGGUUAGAACUUCAACAUAUCUUUUUUUGGGGGGACAUAAUUCAGCCCAUAACACCAUCCCCUUAUUUUUUUUUUAACAACUCCUGUUUAGAGUCUAUAUUCACCUCAUUACUCAUUCCUGACUCCUGAUUUUCUCUUGUAUGUAUCACCCAGUUCUUACACUUGGGAUUAGAAGUUGGCAUGUUGUUUAUACAGAGUUGAGACAAACAAAAGCCUCAAGGAGCUGUCUGGACAUUUUUAUCUAGGCCUUUGUGUUACUAUGAGCUGCCUGGCAUUUACAGCUAUGUCUUGGUGUUCUCUGGUUAAACAACUUCACAGAACAGCAACAUCAGACAAAGUUACUGUGAACAUGAUCAAUCAAGACAAAAAUAGGGCCACUCUAUAAUCAUGCCUGAACACAAAGCAAAAUACAAACACUAUCCAAACCACACAAAUGACCAAAUAUCUCUCUAUCUUGACAAUAGAAGUGACUGCUGCUUUUUUUCUUCUUUUAACCGAUUACUGCUUUGUCUUGGUCUAGGCAUCCCUCCUUCUAGGUAAGAUUAAUUAAGGUAAAUAACUAAAAUUACCCUAACUUUCUAAGAGGAUGUAAUCCAGAGCAAAGCCUCACAUCUUUAAAUCCUCCCUGUCACGUAACACAACCCCAAAUCUUAUAGUAAAUUCUUUCUAACACCCUCUUCCCGAGACACUCCAUGUUUCCAUGGUGUACAUUCUCACUGCAACAAGUAAUAAACCCAACUUGUUCAACUAUGAGUGUGUUCCUGAGGAUAUUUGACUGGAGGGCAUUCACGGCAUUUUAAUAAUACAAAUUAGCUAAAAUGUGAUAACUGAAUUGGAGACAUGUUUUACAUGUGGAAUAUAUCAACCUAACAAAUGAUUGCUGUUCAGAUUAUACUGCAAAUAGAAAAAUGCAGGUAUAAAAAAGGUUGUAUUUGCAAUAUUAUUAAUUGCUAUACAUAUCUAGCGUUCAAUUCCAGUCAUGUUUCUUUUAUUUUAUAAAUGAAAUCAAACUCAAGCUUUGAUACCACAGUAUGGUGUCAGAUCUAGUCUCUCUCUUUUUUUUCAUGUCACCUUCCUUUGAAUGGUCAAAAAACCUAGUAAAUGUAUUGAAUCCAUGAGGAAUGAGAUCUAUCCAACUUCCCCAUCCAAUUGUGGGAUGGGAGAGGGAAGGCCUAAAAUAUAAUCUGGCCAAUGCCACUACUUCUGGCUGCCCUGAAGCAUCACGGUUGGAAAUUCAUCCUAUCCUGUGAGGUCGCAGCUGUUAGUGCUUGAGUCCUUCAGACCCAGCAACAGCCAUUCCACUGCAGUGUUAGCCACAUCAGGACUGCAGUAUUAGAGCUGGAAGGCCUUCACCAGAUGCCGGCACCUUGAUCUUUGAUUUCUCAUCCUCCAGAACUGUGAGAAAUACAUUUCUCUUCUUCAUAAAUCAUCCAGUCUCAGAUAUUGUGUUAUAGUAGCACAAAAUGGACUAAGACAAACUUUAAUGUUAAGCAUCCAACAAUGCACUCUGGCAAAUUGUGGGUUACUUCUACCAAAAAGUGUGAAAUCCUGGCCUGUUCCUCACUGCAGCCUGAACUUAGCUUAUAAGCAGAUAUUUGCAAUCUAUUUAAACUUGCCUCAGCCCCAGGCCUUAGGGGUUCAACCUUUCCCCAGAGCAAAUGUUUUUUUUUUAUGAAAUAACAAGAACUCAGUGUUAUAAUCAACAGAUGGUAAUAGCUGAGCAAGUUCUAAUCUCAUAACACUGAAGAAAUUGUUCCCAGUCUCAUUCUGUCAUUCCCAUUUCAUCAUUUUCUUCUGAUUUGUUGAGUUAUUGCUUAAUCUCAAUAAUUUACUUAUUUUUCAGAAGGAUUUGUUAACAAUACCUUCUCCCCCCUCGGAGCACUCAAUUUAUAU